RNAcentral lists this long non-coding RNA (247 nucleotides) under Vigna radiata. RNAcentral's name for it is "long non-coding RNA (VRAD_LNC008565)". The record is from RNAcentral. Lineage: Eukaryota; Viridiplantae; Streptophyta; Magnoliopsida; Fabales; Fabaceae.
AGAGUAAGGAGAAUGUUUGCAGAUUUCACUUGUUAAGUGGAUUUUAACCUCCCAAUAAAAGGGUUAUGAAAAACUAAAGUCAGUGACAAAUCAUGAUUAUGAUAUUCACACAUUACUUUCAAAAACCACUCUUUACCAUUAGAAUUUAGUUUGCCUUGCCUCUCAAUUUAAAAACAUAAUCGCAUUUUCUUGUGUUAGAUAUACUAGGUUGAACAUCGAAUUUGUAUUUCUUGUACUUUCCACCCCU